RNAcentral lists this ribosomal RNA (775 nucleotides) under uncultured Neocallimastigales. RNAcentral describes it as "partial large subunit ribosomal RNA". It matches the Rfam family "Eukaryotic large subunit ribosomal RNA", at positions 22 to 635 of the family's 3401-position model. The record is from RNAcentral. Lineage: Eukaryota; Fungi; Neocallimastigomycota; Neocallimastigomycetes; Neocallimastigales.
GUACACGCUGUGACUAGCAUAUCAAUAAGGCGGAGGAAAAGAAACUAACAAGGAUUCCCCUAGUAACGGCGAGUGAAGCGGGAAGAGCUCAAAUUUGAAAUCUUAAAGGGUUUCCCUUUACGAAUUGUAGUUUAAAGAAGUGUUUUCUGUUGAGGUUUUGGUAAAAGUUCUUUGGAAUAGGACAUCAUAGAGGGUGAGAAUCCCGUAUUUGACCUUUACUUUCAACUUUGUGAUACACUUUCAAAGAGUCGGAUUGUUUGGGAAUGCAGUCCAAAAUGGGUGGUAAAUUUCAUCUAAAGCUAAAUAUUGGCGAGAGACCGAUAGCGAACAAGUACCGUGAGGGAAAGAUGAAAAGAACUUUGAAAAGAGAGUUAAACAGUACGUGAAAUUGUCAAAAGGGAAGCGUUUGACACCAGUGUUGUUUUUCUGAAAAUCAAUUAAAGAACUGUUUAUGCUAAGCUGUUUAGACUUUAUCAGCUAUCUGUUUAGUUUUGAGCUUUUCUUUAAUGCACUUUUCAGUUAACAAGUCAACAUCAAUUUCUUUUGCUGUAAAAAAGCUUGAGGAAGGUGGCUUGAGAUUCGUCUUAAGUGUUUAUAGCCUCUUGCCUAUGCAGUCGGAGAGAUUGAGGUCUGCAGCGUAGAUCCUUCGGGGCUAAAUGCAUUUGUGCUAAGUUAUAGCAUUUUAUAGACAACUUGUUGACUAUGAUUUGUCUUGUAGCUUACUCGCUUAUGUUAUUUUACCUACGCUUAGGAUGUUGAAGAUGUAGCACAUCAU